GGGGCGGUAGUCUAGUCAGGUUUAGGACACCAGCUUCGGGAGCUGGAGAUCCGGGGUUCGAAUCCCCGCCGCCCCA
This 76-nucleotide transfer RNA is filed under the name candidate division MSBL1 archaeon SCGC-AAA382K21. RNAcentral's name for it is "tRNA-Pro". It matches the Rfam family "tRNA". From Rfam's summary of the family: Transfer RNA (tRNA) molecules are approximately 80 nucleotides in length. Their secondary structure includes four short double-helical elements and three loops (D, anti-codon, and T loops). Further hydrogen bonds mediate the characteristic L-shaped molecular structure. tRNAs have two regions of fundamental functional importance: the anti-codon, which is responsible for specific mRNA codon recognition, and the 3' end, to which the tRNAs corresponding amino acid is attached (by aminoacyl-tRNA synthetases). tRNAs cope with the degeneracy of the genetic code in two manners: having more than one tRNA (with a specific anti-codon) for a particular amino acid; and 'wobble' base-pairing, i.e. permitting non-standard base-pairing at the 3rd anti-codon position. The record is from RNAcentral. RNAcentral also lists the same sequence under 1 other name. Lineage: Archaea; Methanobacteriati; Methanobacteriota.